Molecule: ribosomal RNA, 689 nt
Filed under: uncultured Anaplasmataceae bacterium
Lineage: Bacteria; Pseudomonadati; Pseudomonadota; Alphaproteobacteria; Rickettsiales; Anaplasmataceae
Description: bacterial SSU rRNA
Rfam family: Bacterial small subunit ribosomal RNA
Source: RNAcentral
UCGAACGGAGUUAUAUUAUAGCUUGCUAUGGUAUAACUUAGUGGCAGACGGGUGAGUAAUGUAUAGGAAUCUACCUAGUAGUACGGAAUAAUUGUUGGUAACGGCAACUAAUACCGUAUACGCCCUACGGGGGAAAAAUUUAUUGCUAUUAGAUGAGCCUAUAUUAGAUUAGCUAGUUGGUGGGGUAAUAGCCUACCAAGGCAAUGAUCUAUAGCUGAUCUGAGAGGAUGAUCAGCCACACUGGAACUGAGAUACGGUCCAGACUUCUACGGGAGGCAGCAGUGGGGAAUAUUGGACAAUGGGCGAAAGCCUGAUCCAGCCAUGUCGCAUGAGUGAAGAAGGCCUUUGGGUUGUAAAGCUCUUUUAGUGAGGAAGAUAAUGACGGUACUCACAGAAGAAGUCCUGGCUAACUCCGUGCCAGCAGCCGCGGUAAUACGGAGAGGGCUAGCGUUAUUCGGAAUUAUUGGGCGUAAAGGGCGCGUAGGCUGAUUAAUAAGUUAAAAGUGAAAUCCCGAGGCUUAACCUUGGAAUUGCUUUUAAAACUAUUAAUCUAGAGAUUGAAAGAGGAUAGAGGAAUUCCUGAUGUAGAGGUAAAAUUCGUAAAUAUUAGGAGGAACACCAGUGGCGAAGGCGUCUAUCUGGUUCAAAUCUGACGCUGAGGCGCGAAGGCGUGGGGAGCAAACAGGAUU